GCCCGGGUGGUGGAACUUGGUAGACACACAGGACUUAAAAUCCUGUGGGCCUUUCAGCCCGUGCCGGUUCGAGUCCGGCCCCGGGCA
Molecule: transfer RNA, 87 nt
Filed under: Deferribacter thermophilus
Lineage: Bacteria; Pseudomonadati; Deferribacterota; Deferribacteres; Deferribacterales; Deferribacteraceae
Also listed under: 3 other names
Description: tRNA-Leu
Rfam family: tRNA
About the family: Transfer RNA (tRNA) molecules are approximately 80 nucleotides in length.
Source: RNAcentral